Molecule: transfer RNA, 74 nt
Filed under: Promethearchaeota archaeon
Lineage: Archaea; Promethearchaeati; Promethearchaeota
Description: Candidatus Lokiarchaeota archaeon (microbial mat metagenome) tRNA-Phe
Rfam family: tRNA
About the family: Transfer RNA (tRNA) molecules are approximately 80 nucleotides in length.
Source: RNAcentral
GCCAGCGUGGCCUAGCCCGGGAAGGCACUGGACUGAAGAUCCAGGUACCGCGUGUUCAAAUCACGCCGCUGGCA